Molecule: ribosomal RNA, 497 nt
Filed under: uncultured bacterium
Lineage: Bacteria
Description: partial 16S ribosomal RNA
Rfam family: Bacterial small subunit ribosomal RNA
Source: RNAcentral
GAUGAACGCUGGCGGCGUGCCUAAUACAUGCAAGUCGAGCGAACGGACGAGAAGCUUGCUUCUCUGAUGUUAGCGGCGGACGGGUGAGUAACACGUGGAUAACCUACCUAUAAGACUGGGAUAAUUUCGGGAAACCGGAGCUAAUACCGGAUAAUAUUUUGACCCGCAUGGUUCAAAAGUGAAAGACGGUCUUGCUGUCACUUAUAGAUGGAUCCGCGCUGCAUUAGCUAGUUGGUGAGGUAACGGCUUACCAAGGCAACGAUGCAUAGCCGACCUGAGAGGGAGAACGGCCACACUGGAACUGAGACAGGGUCCAGACUCCUACAGGAGGCCACAGUACAGAAUCUUACGCAAUGGGCGAGAGCGUGACGGUGCACCGCGGCGUGAGUGAUGAAGGACUACGGAUCGGAGAACGCUGUUAUUAGGGAAGAACAUAUGUGUAAGUAACUGUGCACAUCAUGACGGUACCUAAACAGAAAGCCACGGCUAACUACGUG